GUUAAAUAGUCCUCCACAAAGGGUCACCCAGACCCUCCUAUGCUAAAUGGAAUAUUCAGACCAGAAAUUUUCCUCACCUGUGUCUUCAGGACACACUCAAGUGUUGACUCUCUUCUUCCCUUGGAUGCUAAAGAGAAGACAGGGCUAGAAUAGCUUCCCAGUCCCAGUCAGAAGCAUUGUGGUGUCAUUGAUGGAGGGAUGACAAGGCUUUGGUGACUUGGGUCAUCAUCUCGUUCCCUGCUGAGCUCCUUUUCAGGCAUAUGAAUGCUUUUUGUGUAGCUGCCCAUAAGUCAGAGGUAAUCACCCCCUUUUGGCUGUAAGUUCUUUAACCAUUCCCCAAUUGAUGGACAUCCCCUCAAUUUCCAAAUCUAUGCCUCCACAAAAAGAGCUCCUAUAAAUAUUUUUUGUACAAAUAUGUACUUUUCCCUUUAAAAAAACCUGUUUAGAAUAUAUGGCUCGUUGUAGUAUUGCUGGAUCUCAAAGGGUGUGAUGAGAUAAGUUCAGAGCAGUGUUAGCUUAUUGCUUUAAAAUUCUUUGUUUUGCUUUUCUAGAGAAGAAUAUGUUCACUUCUUUCUUUAAAAAGAUUUCUUUUCAGCUGGAAAGCAGUGAAGCUGCAGAAAAGAAAACAUCAUAGCUAAGGAAAUUACCUCUACAAUGGAAAACCUUCCUAAUGGUGAUUUUACUGUGGAAUGUCUCUGGAGAACCAGAGAAAUGGAAUUAAAAAGACAAGAGCUGGCAACACAAGCAGCCUGGGAAUGUAAAGCUGAGAAAUUUUUCAUCGAAAUUAAAGAGAUACAUGCCAUGAAAGAAAUUGAAGCUAGGGAAGAUGAAAAGGUCAUUGAAAAGGACAAUCGUUUUUAUGAUGAUUUGACUCUGGCAUCUCAUUUGAGAACCAGAGCAACUGAAUUUGAAAAACAGAAACUGGCAAUAAAGACCAUUUUUGAAGAGAAAACACAGACAUUUCUCAAGGAAAUCAAAGAGAUAUGUGCUAUGGUGAGAGAGUCCAAUUCAUGGGUACUUUUCCCAUUUGAAUUCAACAAGGAUUUCUUCAGGGCCUGUUUGUGUGCAGUCUCCUGA
Molecule: long non-coding RNA, 1077 nt
Filed under: Phascolarctos cinereus (koala)
Lineage: Eukaryota; Metazoa; Chordata; Mammalia; Diprotodontia; Phascolarctidae
Description: lncRNA (ENSPCIG00000009466.2)
Source: RNAcentral